This 1462-nucleotide long non-coding RNA is filed under the name Lynx pardinus (Iberian lynx). The record is from RNAcentral. Lineage: Eukaryota; Metazoa; Chordata; Mammalia; Carnivora; Felidae.
GGGGCUCGGGCGUGAGCAAAAGCUGCCGAGCGUCUUAAGGCCUGGCCUCAGAAGUCACCUCGUGUCACCUCUGCUGCGUUGUGAGGGUCGAAGCACGUCACCGAGCCCAGCCACAGCCAAGGAGUCGGGAGAUAGGACACGUUGGUUUAGUUGGAGUGGUGCAGUCACGCUGUGGAAGGCCGUGUGCCCCAGGAUGGGGUGGGGGGGGGCCUUGAAACUGUAUUUUACCCUCCACCGAAGUACAGGUCUCCUCCAGUCUCUGGCCAAGGGCUUCCUUGAACCCUCUCCCCCAUGGCCAUGUCUUCCGUGCUCCUCGGCCACUCACGCCCGUGACCCUAACUCCCGGAUCUCACCGUCAGAGCAACCGCGGCCCCUCAUACCUUGGCUCCCGGCACCCCAGCCUCUGACCCCACUCCCACCUCUCCUGCCAUUCGGCACCAACAGGUCCUUGACCCCAGUGGGGCUGUGGGUAUGUCAAUUUUCUACAGACCGUCAGCCUCCUUAUACUGCCCACCAGCCUGACCCCACGGGCCAUUGCUCCGGUCUCCGUCCCCCACCCUCUUACCUCCACCCUCAGCUCUCAGGCUCUUUUCUGACCUCGUGGUGUCCACCCAGCAAAAUCCGGCCUCGGGCACAGCCAGCCCCACGCCCGCACCCACGAAGUUGAAUGCGGCUGGAGGGAACCCCGCAGGCGUCCUGCGAGAACUGAGUUGUAACCCACCGUCGGAAGGCGGGGAGGAACGAAGAGGCGAUAACAACCCUUCAGACCUUAGAUCUGAGCCGUGGACGGAUCUUAGGCGUGCGGACCUCUCCCCUCCUCCUUCUAGUCCGAGAGCCGAAUCCGGGCACUGGCUCGCGCUGGCUCUUCCCUCCCACUGCAUUCACCACAUGUCCACGAAGUACCCCCGAUCUUGGUCGCGCACUGGGCAGUUACGGGGCUCAGCGGAGCUAGGCAGGGCCCGGAACCAGCGCGAACUCCAGGGGUGGUCUGGGGGCUGGCCGCACCCGCAUCACGUGGGAGCUUGUUGAGCAGAAAGGUUCUCAGCGCCUCACCCCGGACCUGCAGAAUCAGAAUCCCCGGGGGCGGGUGUCGGACCCGGAAGCUGUGUUUGGGGCAAGCCCUCUGGUGCCUCUUAUUUAUGCUGGAGUUUGAGGAUCGUGUCGAGACACUUGCCGAUUAGUGUGUGACACCAAGACCCGGGCGCUCGUCCAAAACGGCAGGCCCUGGGACCUCACCGCGGGCCCCCUGAAAGAAAAACUGCGUUUUCACUGGGCUCCCCCCAGGGAUCUGUCACGGGCCCAGGGGCUGGAGGUGGCCGAAGGACGCGUCCCAGGGCGUAGACGCUCAGGAAGCCUUGGGUGACUGGUUGUCGCACAGAAGGAGCACCCUCGCCAGGCUGCCCAGAUAGGUUCCACUUCCCGGGCCCACGCUGAGGCUCAGCGGGGACGCCCUGGGGCCCGA